This 87-nucleotide transfer RNA is filed under the name Deltaproteobacteria bacterium RBG_16_66_15. RNAcentral describes it as "tRNA-Leu". It matches the Rfam family "tRNA". Rfam says of the family: Transfer RNA (tRNA) molecules are approximately 80 nucleotides in length. Lineage: Bacteria; Deltaproteobacteria. The record is from RNAcentral. RNAcentral also lists the same sequence under 13 other names.
GCCGAAGUGGCGGAACUGGCAGACGCGCCAGAUUCAGGGUCUGGUGUGGGCAACCACGUGGGGGUUCAAAUCCCCCCUUCGGCACCA